UCCGCCGAGGGGCGGGGCCAGAGGACGGACCGAGGCCUCCAGGGAAGCGGGACCAGGUGAGGGGAAAGUCGGACCAGCAAGUGGGGCGGCGGCGGGGGUACCCGUGACCACCAGCGAAGGUGCGCUACCCAGCGCUCGGUCCCGCACAGGCUAGGAGGACUAGCAUGAAGACCCGCAGCUGCAGGGGCCAGAACAGAAAGCGCUUGUUAAAAGAUAUAUCUGUUUUGCUUUGUACGGCACAGGGAUACACAUUCAGGAUUGUCAUGUCUUCUGGAAACCCCAGGGCAGCUUACUAGGAAGUGCAGCUCCUACACAACACUGUGUCUAAAUGACAGCACACUCAGCAAGCCUGAGAAUCUCGGUUAAAAUCUACAGGAAGCACCAGGAAUGGCUAUGCAAAUCUUUUGUGGAGAGCCGGGCGU
Long non-coding RNA from Fukomys damarensis (Damara mole-rat), 422 nucleotides. RefSeq lists it as uncharacterized. Lineage: Eukaryota; Metazoa; Chordata; Mammalia; Rodentia; Bathyergidae. The transcript has 3 exons. The record is from RefSeq and is a predicted model, not a curated record.